Molecule: transfer RNA, 73 nt
Filed under: Nanobdellota archaeon
Lineage: Archaea; Nanobdellati; Nanobdellota
Also listed under: 1 other name
Description: tRNA-Gln
Rfam family: tRNA
About the family: Transfer RNA (tRNA) molecules are approximately 80 nucleotides in length. Their secondary structure includes four short double-helical elements and three loops (D, anti-codon, and T loops).
Source: RNAcentral
AGUCCCGUAGUGUAGUGGACUAUCAUUCAGGACUUUGGAUCCUGAGACCCCGGUUCGAAUCCGGGCGGGACUA